Long non-coding RNA from Magnolia sinica, 1800 nucleotides. RefSeq lists it as uncharacterized. The transcript is spliced from 2 exons. NCBI's taxonomy places the organism in Eukaryota, Viridiplantae, Streptophyta, Magnoliopsida, Magnoliales, Magnoliaceae. The record is from RefSeq and is a predicted model, not a curated record.
UCUCUGUUUCUCUCUCUGUCUCUCUCUCUCUGGAAUUCUCCUGUUUUUUCCUUGGUUUGAAAGAAAUCCGGGCUCUCUCGAUCUGAAGAGAGAGAAAUCUAGGGUUUUCAGGAGAGAUGAUGAAAUUCUGGUCUUAGAAGGGCUGGCGAUGAUGUUCGUGGCUUAACGAUGCCUGCAGUUCUUGAUUUAUAUCAUUUUUGCGUGUAGUGAUUCCGUUCCUGAUCUUGAUCCUCUCCCGAUUCAGCAGCGCCCGGCAAGCAAUCGUUUGCAUUGGCCAGUCAGCAUUGUGGCAUUGUGGAGGGGAUGCGGAACUGUGAUCACUCAUGCAAAAUUGAUGUAAUUCACUGAUGGGUGUUGCAAGCCGCGUGCAUCAUCAGCAACUCUUGUAAGAAGAAGAAAGCUUUUUAAAUGCUGCCCUUUGGCGUAGCAAUACACAAUACCUCCAACUAAACUAGUCACUAGUUUGCACCGCUUAUGGCAUUCUUCACCACCUUUCAGGUAAAUAUUUCUUCCAUCUUCUUGCAUUAUAUGAUUCCAGGUGCUGAUUUUUCUUUAGAAAUGGUGGAUUAUGUCACUCUGUCACGCAUUGCAAGAUCUCGUGGGCAUGGAUUUGAGUGGCUGUUUUGGAGUGUGACUAACUAGUGGACCGAAACUAGUACAAAUCACACCUGUUUCGGUUGGUUUUGGUCCCGUAUUGGUAUGUUGACUCAUUCUGGUCCAGAACGAAAUGAGUCAGCAUACCAAUACGGCUCAGACAAUGCCAAGUCAUAUCUGGCAAUAUUUAAAACCAUGCAGUUGUGUUGUAUGUGUGACUGUGCCUAUGCUAGUGUUUUCUAUCCAGGAAGCAUUUACAGAUGCAGGGACUAUGCUGUUUUGCUAUUAAUCAGUUCUGUGAAUGGCUGAAGACUGUCAUGAGGCUUUUGUUGCUCGACUGAGGCCUGACAAAGUUCAAUUGCAUUUUGUUGCUGCUCUGUUUAGCUCAAUGGAAUAUAUCACUGGCGCAUCUAUCGGUAUCUGUCGAACUUGCUGUCAAUAUUUAAUAUUUAUUUUCUGGCUGUUAAAAAACAUCUUAUUUUGUAUACUUGAGGCACUGCGAUUCAACCAGUGAUAUGUUUGUAAGGGGUCUCAAAUUUUAUUUUAUUUUUCUGAAACAUCCAUGGGAUCAAGGGGCCUGUUUGCAUGAGAGGCAAAUCAGAAACAUUUUGAAUUUCUAUCCUGGACGAUGGAAGUCCCAAGGAAAAUGUGCUUAUUUUCUUCAACCUGUCAUGGGAAAGGAGCUGCCACAGCAUUAAAAGGGUAGUUGUUUAAAAUUGCUUCUCUUUUGUCCCUCCAUAGAUUGUUGAAUGGGGCAAACCCAAUCCAGUUGCCAUUCUGUUGGUCCAGCCUUUUUUCAUCACCAUGAAAAAAAAUAAAUAAAUCUGUAACUUGCUUAUGUUUGGCAUUCAAUGGGUCUUGCUAGGUUCCAACGAAUCUCUCUUGUUGGCAUAUGGCACAGAGGGGGCAAAGAGAAGAGAGGGAAGAAGAUCUGGCAUCUAUGUUUGCCAGUGGGAAUUUGAUCACUGUGGUCGGAAAGGGAUCUCAGCUGCUUCAGGAAUCGGAAAAGAUAUCGUGGAAGCUUGUAAUCCGGCGAAUGGAUGGCAGAAUCUUUGGCCAUGAUGCGGUCUCAAAUUCCUGAUAGUUGGGCAGAUUUGUAAUUAAUCUUUCCGUUUUGUUUUUGUUUUUGUAAUUAUUUGGCUUUGGCAUUCUUACAAUAAAUAUGACUUUUUCAAAAAAAUAAAAAAGUAUCUGCAACUUGCUGCA